This 253-nucleotide ribosomal RNA is filed under the name uncultured bacterium. RNAcentral's name for it is "partial 16S ribosomal RNA". It matches the Rfam family "Bacterial small subunit ribosomal RNA", at positions 524 to 776 of the family's 1533-position model. The record is from RNAcentral.
UACGUAGGUGGCAAGCGUUGUCCGGAUUUACUGGGUGUAAAGGGCGUGUAGCCGGGCCGGCAAGCCUGAUGUGAAAGCCCGCGGCCCAACCGCGGGACUGCAUUGGGAACUACCGGGCUGGAGUGCCGGAGAGGUAGGCGGAAUUCCUAGUGUAGCGGUGAAAUGCGUAGAUAUUAGGAGGAACACCAGUGGCGAAGGCGGCCUACUGGACGGUGACUGACGCUGAGGCUCGAAAGCGUGGGGAGCAAACAGG